GAAAAAGAGCCUAAGGAGUACCGUCUGCGGAGAGGCCAGCUUGGAAGAACCUGUGUUUGCAGCAAAGGUGGAUGGCGGUCAGAAGACGGCCUCGUGGGGUCUCUGCCAGGCCUGUUUGGAGGACCGGGCGGCUGAGGGACUGGAGUGCAGGGCUGCCGGAUCCGUGUCUGCUGGAUCGGUCUGGCCUCUCCAAGCGCGGUUCGGCCUCGCGAAGCUGUGCAACAGGUCUGGUCCCAUUUCAUCUGGCUUUUUCCUCCCGUGGAAUGAUAAGCUCUUCAAACAGACAUUCCUUCCUUGUGCCCGUAAGACAAGGGAAUGGUAAACACAAGACUCAGGAUGAUGGUUGGUAACCAGGAUGAUGAGAUGUGAGGUCACCAGAUGGUUUGCUGUAGAUUGUUUGCUUUUGUUUUGGUCAGUGGGAUUAUGAGUGCUCAUGACAUUGCAAAAAAUUACUUAUCAACCUAAAGAAAUACAUAAGUAAAUAAGCCAUCCUAUAUCUGAGCAAUGAUGACAGUGAGUCAUUAAGUGAAGAUUAUGAUUGAUACAAUUCUGCUUCUCUGAGAUUAGAAAAAAAAAAAGUCAUGUACUUGGGGGAGGGGAUGAGAAAAAGCCACAUGCCUGAGAGAGGAGUGUGUGAGGUAAGGGAUGGGGCUCAGGUGAGAGGUAGGGGAGAGAGCUAUGUAGGAUCUCAUAGGGCCUGUUAAUGACUUGGAUUUAACGGGGUGGUAUGAUGACAUGGUCUUUAUAUUUCAAAGGUCUCAUUCUGGCUGCAUCGUGGGUAUUUUAUUAGUGGUGGUCAGAGAGAAUAUGGGGAAGGCUGGUUGGGAGGCUGUAUCGACUGUAGGUAAGAGGUGAUGGUAGCAUGGAUUAAGAUGAGAUAAUGAGAGAAGCAGGUGAAUUUAAAUAACAGUAAGUAAAAACUGAUAAUUUUCGAUAGAAUAUGGGGCAUGAGAGUCAAUGAUGAUGCCUCCAUUUUAUUUGUGAAGGAGGUGGAUGGUGGGCUAUUUACUGAGAAGAAAGUGAGUUUAGUUUUGACUAUGUUGGAUUUGGAUGCUUUUGAGAUAUGCCAGUGGGCAGCUGGAUAUUGGGCUCCAUAACUUCCAUGGGAUCUGAGUUAGCUGAGGAUGUACAAGGGAGUCAUGGAUAUGUGGGUGGGGAUUAAAGUUGUGGAAGUUGAUAAGAUUACCUAGAAAGAAACAGUGUAGUGAGAAGAAAGCUGUUGUAAAAACAAAAUUUAAGUAGACAAUUAAAUUAAAGCAGGCCACACAUAUCCUAUGAUGAAAGUGUACCAUGAAUCUAAGAUUAUGAUUAAUCUAGUUUAAAAAAAUCAGGGUCUAAGAAACAAAACAUAUGAAUAUAUGGGAGGGGAGAAAAAAGAGAGAGUGAAACAAACCAUAAGAUA
Neofelis nebulosa (Clouded leopard) is the source of this 1402-nucleotide long non-coding RNA. RefSeq lists it as uncharacterized. NCBI's taxonomy places the organism in Eukaryota, Metazoa, Chordata, Mammalia, Carnivora, Felidae. The transcript has 3 exons. The record is from RefSeq and is a predicted model, not a curated record.